RNAcentral lists this ribosomal RNA (429 nucleotides) under Bacteroidota bacterium. Its description in RNAcentral is "Bacteroidetes bacterium partial 16S ribosomal RNA". It matches the Rfam family "Bacterial small subunit ribosomal RNA", at positions 355 to 776 of the family's 1533-position model. The record is from RNAcentral. Lineage: Bacteria; Pseudomonadati; Bacteroidota.
UAGGGAAACUUCGGCAAUGGGGGGAACCCUGACCGAGCAACGCCGCGUGAGUGAAGAAGGUUUUCGGAUCGUAAAGCUCUGUUGUUAAGGAAGAACGAGUGUGAGAAUGGAAAGUUCAUGCUGUGACGGUACUUAACCAGAAAGGGACGGCUAACUACGUGCCAGCAGCCGCGGUAAUACGUAGGUCCCGAGCGUUGUCCGGAUUUAUUGGGCGUAAAGCGAGCGCAGGCGGUUAGAAAAGUCUGAAGUGAAAGGCAGUGGCUCAACCAUUGUAGGCUUUGGAAACUGUUUAACUUGAGUGCAGAAGGGGAGAGUGGAAUUCCAUGUGUAGCGGUGAAAUGCGUAGAUAUAUGGAGGAACACCGGUGGCGAAAGCGGCUCUCUGGUCUGUAACUGACGCUGAGGCUCGAAAGCGUGGGGAGCGAACAGG